UAGAGUUAACUAGCGACAUUCUCGGGGAC
RNAcentral lists this non-coding RNA (29 nucleotides) under Mus musculus (house mouse). Lineage: Eukaryota; Metazoa; Chordata; Mammalia; Rodentia; Muridae. The record is from RNAcentral.